Molecule: ribosomal RNA, 548 nt
Filed under: uncultured crenarchaeote
Lineage: Archaea; Thermoproteati; Thermoproteota
Description: bacterial SSU rRNA
Rfam family: Archaeal small subunit ribosomal RNA
Source: RNAcentral
ACGGGGUGCAGCAGGGGCGAAACCUCCGCAAUACACGAAAGUGUGACGGGGUUACCCAAAGUGUUCAAUUUUGAACUGUGGUAGGUGAGUAAUGUUCCCUACUAGAAAGGAGAGGGCAAGGCUGGUGCCAGCCGCCGCGGUAAAACCAGCUCUUCAAGUGGUCGGGAUAAUUAUUGGGCUUAAAGUGUCCGUAGCCGGUUUAGUAAGUUCCUGGUAAAAUCGGGUAGCUUAACUAUCUGUAUGCUAGGAAUACUGCUAAACUAGAGGGCGGGAGAGGUCUGAGGUACUACAGGGGUAGGGGUGAAAUCUUAUAAUCCUUGUAGGACCACCAGUGGCGAAGGCGUCAGACUGGAACGUGCCUGACGGUGAGGGACGAAAGCCAGGGGAGCGAACCGGAUUAGAUACCCGGGUAGUCCUGGCCGUAAACGAUGCAUACUAGGUGAUGGCGUGGCCAUGAGCCGUGUCAGUGCCGUAGGGAAACCGUUAAGUGUGCCGCCUGGGAAGUACGGUCGCAAGGCUAAAACUUAAAGGAAUUGGCGGGGGAGCAC